RNAcentral lists this long non-coding RNA (1443 nucleotides) under Homo sapiens (human). Its description in RNAcentral is "HSALNT0026928". The record is from RNAcentral. Lineage: Eukaryota; Metazoa; Chordata; Mammalia; Primates; Hominidae.
GACAGUGACAGGGACUGGGAACCUGGGAGCUUCUCAGCAUCUCCUUUUCACACUCUGCCUCUGAGCAGCUGGGAAUCCUUACCCCUCCAAUCUCCUGACUGCUCAUCUCCCUGGAGCCAGGACCCUGAAUCAGUAUUCACGGCCUGUUAGUGGCUUGCAAGGCAGAGCAGACAGAUGGACGUGCUCGGGAAGCCUAUUGAUCAGCCCUUGGUGUGACCUGCCCAGACCUGGUUCUGUUUCAAGCACUGAUCACGUGGACAAGGAGUCCUUAAUUCCUCUCAGCACCAUUUGAGAUGAGCAACUACACAAGACAAAGACGAAAGGCUUUUUCAGCUCAAAAAUCCUGUGAUUCUUUGAUUCUAAGAAGAGAUUUUCUUACAAGGAGUUUGCCUAAGUGUCCACACGGCUUGUGUCUCCUCCCAGCAGCCGGCCUGCUGGUGUGUGUGCUGUGUGUGGAGAGUGGCCUUAGGCCUGUGUUGUGAGUGAUGUCUGCAGAGCAUGGGGUUGAUUUGGAAGAAGGUGUGAUCCGAAGUUGUGUUUGACCUGAGCUCCUGUCACCCCUGAAGGCAGCAGAGGAUCUCCUGUCAGUGACCCAGGAGGACAGCUUUCUGAAGGACAUUCUGCCCAUUGCACAGAGGGGCUUUUGUGAUUGGUUUGCCCAGAUGUGACUUUUUCCCCUACCUUUGAAGGCCUAGAUUGGGUUUCCCAUUUCUUGGCCCUUUGGAAAGGCCAAUGGCUCCCUGUCUGACAGGCUGCCCUGAGCAGCAGGUGCUCCAUUUAGACCCAGGCUGCCCCAAUCCCAGCUCUGAUCUGACUCUCAGCUCUGAGGCUCCAUUGAGUCCCUGGGCCUCAGGGACCCUGUUCAGGCUUUGCUGAUGGUGGCAUCAAGUGACCUCCGAGCCACCUCCACGUUGGCUCAGACUGAGGAAACUGGUGAUCUUGUCUUGCUGUUUGCAAUACUUGAAGACAAAAACAGAACUUGUGCUGCAUUCUCAAGAAAGAAGAGACAACUGUUCCUGUACCUCACUCUUGUAGAUAUCUGUAUGAAGAAGCAGUGAUGGGUGCAUGCAAGCUAGGGAGCAUCAAGGCUCCCACUGCGUGGGCGCCAGCUGACCCCUGACCUCGUUUUCAUCUGUUGCUCUGGUCAUGGCUCUGAGAUCUGGGCAACCUGAGCCAGCUUGUGCAUUCCUUACCCUUGUGCUUUUGCACUAUCCAUCCCUGUCCCCUAGAACUCCCUCCAGUACAGUCUGCUCCACCCCAUCCCAUCCCAUCCCAUCCCAUGCCAUCCCAUCCCCUCACCUCACUCCAUCCUACCCCAUCCUACCACAUCCCACCCCAUCCCAUUCCAUCCCAGCCCACACCACCCCACCCCACCCCACCCCAUCCCACCUCACCCCAUCCCAUUGCCUCAUCCCACCCCAUCCCAUCACAUCUCACCUUACC